AUUGAACGCUGGCGGCAUGCCUUACACAUGCAAGUCGAACGGUAACAGGUCUUCUGUUGCUGACGAUUGGCGAACGGGUGAGUAAUACAUCGGAACGUGCCCGAUCUUGUGGGUUAACGUGGCUAAAGCUUUGCUAAUACCUCAUACGAUCUACGUAUGAAAGCGUGGGAUCUUCGUACCUCGCUCGGCCUUUGCGGCCGAUGGCCGAUUAGGUAGUUGGUUGGUUAAAAGCUUACCAAGCCGACGAUCUGUAGCUGGUCUGAGAGGAUGAUCAGCCACACUGGGACUGAGACACGGCCCAGACUCCUACGGGAGGCAGCAGUGGGGAAUUUUGGACAAAGGGCGAAAGCCUGAUCCAGCCAUGCCGCGUGCAGGAUGAAGGAAUUCGGGUUGUAAACUGCUUUUGUACGGAACGAAAAGCCUCUUUCUAAUAAAGAGGGGUAAUGACGGUACCGAAAGAAUAAGCACCGGCUAACUACGUG
This 482-nucleotide ribosomal RNA is filed under the name uncultured bacterium. RNAcentral describes it as "partial 16S ribosomal RNA". It matches the Rfam family "Bacterial small subunit ribosomal RNA", at positions 30 to 507 of the family's 1533-position model. The record is from RNAcentral.